CGUUAAUUUGAUUGAUAAGUACGUUGAAUAUGUGAUACCAGUUUAGAAAAUAGCGACUUUUUUUUAUCUGAAUCAUAAUAAAAAAGAAGCAGGAGUAACACACUGUUCCCGAUUUAAACAGCGAAAAGCUAUUGAAAGUCAUUACGGUAGUUAAGAAAGACUUUGCUGAGACUUGAAAUAAGCGUAAGUGCAAUAUAAGCCAUGCUCGUCAGACAGUUGUUGUAUAAUAGAACAACACGUACACAUGUAUAAUUGAAUGAAGAGUUUGUAAAUAUUUCAAUUCACCUAUUUAUUAUAAUUUUACUCACAAAAUAAAUGCAUAAAUGCAAGUUAUACAAGUUAAUUUGUUCUCUGCAUAUCAAACACAAACAUGUUUGUUUUGAUCGAAAUAAAUAUCGUACGAUCACCACGUCCACGCGCCUUGUUUUGAUUGCGAACAGCUGACAGUAAAGUGUCCACAUUUUCAUAUGAAACAUGGCUUGCAAAACUUCGAUAGUGGAAAAUGCAUCUCAACUUUCCUUUGGGAGAUUAUAAAGCCCAAAAAGACUCUUGUUCCCACAUGGCGACUACAUGGCUUUUACUUGUUCAUUCUUGUGGAUUCAGCUCAUGAGGUUACCCGUUCAACUUUACCCACAUGCAUGAUUCCUUGUGUUUUACAGACUUUUUACCGGUAAUUCAAAUUCAAUACGAUAAAGCGUGAACAAUAAUGGAACUUUAAGAUAGCAUCAUGCUUGUUGUGUUUGACAAGAAAUUAUGACAAACAAGAUUAAGGCUGUUUAAAGAAAUUUACAAUUUUUAUUUGUUAGUUGUGAAAAUUGGUUUCUCAAUAAAAGUAUGCAAUUAUG
Magallana angulata is the source of this 845-nucleotide long non-coding RNA. RefSeq lists it as uncharacterized. The transcript has 2 exons. NCBI's taxonomy places the organism in Eukaryota, Metazoa, Mollusca, Bivalvia, Ostreida, Ostreidae. The record is from RefSeq and is a predicted model, not a curated record.